This is a non-coding RNA of Paramuricea clavata, 95 nucleotides long. NCBI's taxonomy places the organism in Eukaryota, Metazoa, Cnidaria, Anthozoa, Malacalcyonacea, Plexauridae. The record is from the annotation of a GenBank genome assembly.
CCAUCUUCAGGUUAAAAAGUAACUAAAGAUAUGAACUUUAAAAACAAUUGUUUUUAAAGUUUUAUAUCUUUAGUUACUUUUUAACCUGAAGAUGA